RNAcentral lists this ribosomal RNA (292 nucleotides) under uncultured microorganism. RNAcentral describes it as "partial 16S ribosomal RNA". It matches the Rfam family "Bacterial small subunit ribosomal RNA", at positions 505 to 796 of the family's 1533-position model. The record is from RNAcentral.
GUGCCAGCAGCCGCGGUAAUACGUAGGUGGCAAGCGUUGUCCGGAAUUAUUGGGCGUAAAGCGCGCGCAGGCGGUUUCUUAAGUCUGAUGUGAAAGCCCCCGGCUCAACCGGGGAGGGUCAUUGGAAACUGGGAAACUUGAGUGCAGAAGAGGAGAGUGGAAUUCCACGUGUAGCGGUGAAAUGCGUAGAGAUGUGGAGGAACACCAGUGGCGAAGGCGACUCUCUGGUCUGUAACUGACGCUGAGGCGCGAAAGCGUGGGGAGCGAACAGGAUUAGAUACCCUGGUAGUCC